RNAcentral lists this ribosomal RNA (497 nucleotides) under uncultured bacterium. RNAcentral's name for it is "partial 16S ribosomal RNA". It matches the Rfam family "Bacterial small subunit ribosomal RNA", at positions 28 to 507 of the family's 1533-position model. The record is from RNAcentral.
GAUGAACGCUGGCGGCGUGCCUAAUACAUGCAAGUCGAGCGAACAGACGAGGAGCUUGCUCCUCUGACGUUAGCGGCGGACGGGUGAGUAACACGUGGAUAACCUACCUAUAAGACUGGGAUACCUUCGGGAAACCGGAGCUAAUACCGGAUAAUAUAUUGAACCGCAUGGUUCAAUAGUGAAAGACGGUUUUGCUGUCACUUAUAGAUGGAUCCGCGCCGCAUUAGCUAGUUGGUAAGGUAACGGCUUACCAAGGCAACGAUGCGUAGCCGACCUGAGAGGGUGAUCGGCCACACUGGAACUGAGACACGGUCCAGACUCCUACGGGAGGCAGCAGUAGGGAAUCUUCCGCAAUGGGCGAAAGCCUGACGGAGCAACGCCGCGUGAGUGAUGAAGGUCUUCGGAUCGGAAAACUCUGGUAUUAGGGAAGAACAAAUGUGUAAGUAACUAUGCACGUCUUGACGGUACCUAAUCAGAAAGCCACGGCUAACUACGUG